Molecule: long non-coding RNA, 2415 nt
Organism: Rhineura floridana
Lineage: Eukaryota; Metazoa; Chordata; Lepidosauria; Squamata; Rhineuridae
Exons: 4
Source: RefSeq, a predicted model, not a curated record
GGGUCUCUCGCGUACUGCAAUUAAAGGCACAGAAGCCCUGCGGGGUGGGAAGGUAGCCGCUGGCCUUCCUAGCAGGAUGGAGACAGGAAACAACAGAUAGCUGAGGACCUCUUGAAAGGUGUGGGAGGAUAAAGGGGGCAAAGGGACAAACACCAACGACCUCAGAACGGGUUGCGCUUAUUUCCCUAAAACUAGUGGGGGUGGGGGCUAAGAGCUCGAGUGAGGAACAGCACCUCAGUUUUGGGGCGAAGAGAUCCCAGCAGUAGCUAUAGACAGGAAGAACACGACCAAAGGCAAAAGCCUAACUCAAUUCAGGAGAAAGACACGUGGGGACUCCACCCCUUCGACUCGUCUGGUGAGGGUUACCUCGGCCAGGACCCCCGGCUCUUCGGCGUCCUUCCCGCUUAGAACCCGCUUCAGCUUGUCCAUUCCGCGCGGCCCAGACACUUGUUGCCUUCGGAGUUCCACCUACAGUGAUGCCGUCUCUGCUUCACAAGCCAAGCAACCCGCCUCCGAAGACUACAACUCCCAACAUGCAAAGAAGCCGGAGGCUCGUGAAGCUUUCCUCAUGCCCAUCGGAGCGACCAACCCGAGCCCUCUGGUGCAAGGCACAUUGGGAAAUGUAGUUAGGUAUACUUCCCGCACCUGCGUGUUGCACUACUCUUUUGAAGUCUGGACUCCGCCUGUGGCCUCUUUGUUCACUUGUACUGUAUAUAGGUUAUGCUGGUGCUUUUUCCCCGAGAGUAGUAAGUCGAGUAAGAGAAUAUCGCUUUUGGAUUGAAGACUACUAUUUGCACUUUUGUUUAAAGCGGGUCUUGUGUUUGUCUUCCUAACUAGGUUAUAUAUACUCAUUCCUUAGAGAAAUCAAUUUUCAGAGCAAACUGCAUCAAUGAACUAAUGAACGAUUUGCAUGAAGUCAAGGUCUUCCCUAUGCAGCUACAGAAAUAUUAGUCAGACAUCCAAAUAGAUGUGUAUCCAGCAAGUACAGAAAUCUUCAGUGGCAACGACCAAGAAGCUGUCUCCAGAGCAAGGUCUGUUUCAAGUCCACAAAAUUAUGUAGAUUCCACUUAAGUGCCUUCUGGUGCUGCUGCAGAUUCAGGAUGCAAAUCCUCUGGAAACUCCAGCUUCUCACAAAUAUUCUCCUUGACAGGCUUGAAACUCCAUGAUCAUGAAGUUCAUCUUCAAACAGCAGUACUUCCUCAAAGAACAUAAUCUGUUCCCUGGCUUUCAGUUUCUCUGUAUCUAUGUGUUCUGUUGUGGCAGAAACCUGGAAAAAGCAUAUAAAGUAUGUUGCCUUAUAAUAGUGCUCUUCAGAAAUUUUUAACAGAUUCGUACAUCAAAGUAGUCAACCAUCAAGAACAGAAUUAAAAGUGUACCUUUAACUUUAUUGUAUCACCUAGAAGAGUCCCUUUGUAAUCUGUUGUAUAGGUCCAGUCAUAUGGGUUAACAACUUCCUUUGUGUGCUCAGGUUCAGACCUCAAAGAAAAAGAUAGACAACUUUGUAGCAUGUCAGAUACAGAACCAGGCAAAGACUGUCUAGGGAUAGAUACAAUUUCUUAAAUAAACUGUGCAAUUUUACCUGUGUAAAUACCCAUGUAUCUGCAAAUGCCUAGAGAUUUUGAACAUUGGCAUAAAAUUAUCAGCUGUAUAAAAUCAAGUGUUUUGUUUGUUCUAAAACAGAUGGAAUCAUGUAGUAUAAUUUUAUUUUCCAAACUCUUCAAAAUAUAGUCCAGUUUGCCAACAGAUCUCUAUUGUGCUAGGAUAUAGCUUCAGCUGAGAGCCCCUCCUAUGUAUAGGAAGCUAUCUUAUUGCAUAUAUGAAACUAAUUAACUUUUGUAAACUGUUCUGAAAGGUGCCAUAAAUUCUUUAUUUAAUGGAUUUAUUCUAAAAACAGAUGUGUUAAUUAAAUUGAAUACUUUUCAUUUGGGGCAUAAACAUAGUUGAUUCUUUUGCGCAUGCUACUCUUUACAUUCAAACAAAAUUAAUUGUGUGCAAGACUGAGUAUCUGAGUAUUUUGAACUUACAGUCAGUCUUGCAUCAUGAUCUCAAAAGCCAUAACUCAAGAGAGAAAAAAUGUACAAGAAUAACUUCUUUAUGUAAAGGGAAAAGAGACAAAUGUUUAAGUAUGUAUCAAGGUCACACACACCAAGUGACCGACAUAAAAAAGUACAAAUGAAAACAAAUCCUCCAAAGUAGCUAACUGUAUUAAUUUGAGGAUGAACGUAUGUUUUCAUUACCUGCUUUCUUGCCACUCUUCUGCACAGGCAACUUUAACCAUUCCUUGAGAGUUAUUUACGCAUCUUAAAGCAUCAGUUGCAUUGAAUUCUAUCCCAAAGAGAGAUUCAUGUUGAAUUCUUAAGACAUUGUCUCCAAACAUCAUUUCUGGAACACAAGGCAUAUGUAGUUCUUCAGCUA